UUUAAUGGGGGAAACCUGAUGGUCAACGCCGCGUGGAGGAUGAAGGUCUUCGGAUUGUAAACUCCUGUCAUGCGAGAACAAGAAAGUGAUAGUAUCGCAAGAGGAAGAGACGGCUAACUCUGUGCCAGCAGCCGCGGUAAUACAGAGGUCUCAAGCGUUGUUCGGAUUCAUUGGGCGUAAAGGGUGCGUAGGCGGCGUGGUAAGUUGAGUGUGAAAUCCUAGGGCUUAACCUUAGAACUGCACUCAAUACUGCCAUGCUAGAGGAAUGUAGAGGAGAGUGGAAUUCACGGUGUAGCAGUGAAAUGCGUAGAUAUCGUGAGGAAGACCAGUUGCGAAGGCGACUCUCUGGGCAUUUCCUGACGCUGAGGCACGAAGGCCAGGGGAGCAAACGGGAUUAGAUACCCCGGUAGUCCUGGCAGUAAACGGUGCACGUUUGGUGUGGGCGGGUUCAGACCCCGUCCGUGCCGGAGCUAACGCGUUAAACGUGCCGCCUGGGAAGUACGGUCGCAAGAUUAAAACUCAAAGAAAUUGACGGGGGCCCGCACAAGCGGUGGAGUAUGUGGCUUAAUUCGAUGCAACGCGAAGAACCUUACCUGGUCUUGACAUGCAUCUCUAAGUUAGUGAAAGCUAGCGAGUUUGUAGCAAUACA
This 649-nucleotide ribosomal RNA is filed under the name uncultured bacterium. Its description in RNAcentral is "bacterial SSU rRNA". It matches the Rfam family "Bacterial small subunit ribosomal RNA", at positions 367 to 1027 of the family's 1533-position model. The record is from RNAcentral.